This is a small nucleolar RNA of Thalassophryne amazonica, 72 nucleotides long. The record is from RefSeq and is a predicted model, not a curated record. Lineage: Eukaryota; Metazoa; Chordata; Actinopteri; Batrachoidiformes; Batrachoididae.
UUGCACAAUGAUGAAUUUUCUUACCGCCCCAGUCUGAAGAUUCGUGACUGAUUGGUACCCCUCUGAUUGCAC